UUUAAAGUGUAUAUGAUAUAUAUAUUUGCAAAGGUCAAUACAACUGAUGCACUACGUAUUUACAUACUUUCAAAAACUAAAUACUACUAAAACACAUGUUCUUACUUAAAAAUAAAAACAAGAGCAUCUACGGGGUCAUAAUUUCUAAUCUAAUAACAACCCAAAAGUAAGUCUUUCUUCUAGUAGCUUGAGCAUUAGAUGGACCAUAUUGUCAGCUAUGUUGGUUUAUUCAUCCUCAUCCUGCAAAAGAAGAUAAAUUAUAAUUAUAUUUUUUAUAAAAAUAAUUAUAAAGUACACAAGUACAGAUCAAAAAAAGAAAAGUUGGGCACCAACGAAUGAUAUAAAAAGAUUCUUAUAACCAAAGCUAAAGCUAAGAAAUUAUCAAGUAAGAAUUAUAUGGAAGACUAUCAAAAUCAUGCCUAUAGUAAGCUAGUUGUCUAUGAAGCCUUUAUUAAUCUAACCUCAUGAUCAUGAUUCAUGAAGAAGCAAAAGUCUACCGAAAACGAAAUUUUACAUGUCAAAAUUAGUAAGUAUACAAUAUAUGUAUUCUUGGACACCACUCCAAAUGUUGUUCUACAACUACAGUUGGUCCAACCAAAGAUAGCUUAGAAUCAAUCUAUUUCACUUUUCUCUUCAGCAUUAUCCCUUUAUUUUUUAUUUCACCAAGUCAACCAAACAUCCUAUGAAAAUCUAUAUAUACAUGACUUGCAUAUACGCUUCCAAAAUCCAGAAUAACAGCAGAAAGAACUUUACAAAGAGAGAAAAGGCAAAGAGAUCUUUUUCUUUACAAAAAUGGGUGCUAUAUUGGAAUACUUUUGGUCUCUCUCAUUACAUCAUGUCUCCUCCAUAUCGUUUCAGCUGCAACCAGGCAUUAUAAAUUUGAAGUAUGUAUAUUAUUGCAUAGUUUCCUACAAUUUUAUAGCAUUGAAUUGAACUUGACAUUGCCAAAGAAAAUUUAUACUAUAGGUGUAUUUUACAUGAUGUAGCAGGUUAUGUAGAAAUUAAAUCUCUAUAUAUUUUCUGUGCAAGAAUCAGCAUUACUUAUUCCAUGUUUUUCAUCUCUUUGGAUUAUAUUUCAGAUCAAAAUGCAAAAUGUGACAAGACUAUGCCACACCAAGAGUAUCGUGACAGUAAAUGGACAAUUCCCUGGACCUAAAGUUGAGGCAAGGGAAGGCGAUCGCCUUGAAAUUGAUCGAACUUGCACCAUGUAACAUAAAAGAGGAAAGCUAACUACCUACUAUAGAAAUCCUACCAUGUACUAUACAUGCCUGACUAAUCAAUCUUUCAGUACUAGGACCAGGACAAAUAACAAUUCCAAGUAACUUUCAAGGCACUCCAAUUUUUUUUCUUUAUCAAACUAUUAAGCAAAACUAUGCUCUUUCUCUAUUGUAGUGAUUACAAUGCACAAAUGUAAUUUGUAAAGUUUGGGGGACUGUUCAUAAAAUAGUAUCGUUAUACCCGUUGUAUUUCUAUUUAACUUAGCAUUCAUUGUUGCGCAUCUCACAUAAAAGAGCACAGAAAACAUAAAAUGUUAUGGUCAUAAUAUCUCAAUUUGGUGAUUUUGAACUCAGAUGACAAAACUAAAUAAAGUGCAACUGAAAACUAUAACACAAACAUGAUAUUGAACAAUAUCAACCAACAAAUUUAUUUUUAUAAGACUUAGACAAAGUUUCUUACCGUGAUGUUAUUCAUAAGUCUUGAACGACUUGUCUCAUUUGAACCACUUAAAUUAGAAAUAAUGUUGAGAAUUCCACCAGAAACUCCAUUCUGUUAAACAUAAUAAAACUGCAUAACUUAAUUUGUCAUACAAAUCAGUGGAAAGGAAUGAUAUGGGAACGAGUCAAAAACAAAAAUAGUAAGAGCUAGCGACAUAAGUAAUUAAUCAAAACUCGUAAAAAUAAAGACAUAUGUUACCUGUUCAAAAGAAAUUGCCGGGAAUGAUUUGGUUUUGUUUCGCUCACUCAUUCUCUGCAUUGAGUAUGAGUCCGUAAAUAUAUAUUUUUUGAUGUACUAUAAGAAGUAGAAUAAGAAAAUAAAUAAUAUAGAAAAUUUCAGUGAAGUUAGUAAACCAAGAAAGAAAAGUUUUUUAAAAUGUGGAAUACAGUCAACGGAAGACAAAAUGAAGAAGGUAGAUCAUCAAUGAAAUAAGAGAUUAAAUGUAUAAUCUGUUAGAAGGAAAACCUAAUAACUUACGUGUUCUCAUAAGCAAGGGAACAUAUUAACAAUUAUUUAAAACGAAGCAUCCUUUGGAAAAUGAAAGGCUGGCUUAACAAAAUGCUGAGAACUAAAAGAAACAGAUCCAGAUCACUUGAGUUUUAACAACUCUGAAAAUGUUGUCAGCCUCCCAAAACAGUUAAAAUGCUAAUUUUCAUUAUUUGACUAUCCAUGAGCAAUCCAAUUUUUGUAAUUUACCUUGGUUUAAUGAAGGGAUAUGGUCUUUUACUUGUCAUCUAAAUCAUAGAGUAGGUAAGUUUCCCCAGCCAAAUUUUUUCCCCCGAGAGCACUAGUUGCU
This 2512-nucleotide long non-coding RNA is filed under the name Nicotiana tabacum (common tobacco). Its description in RNAcentral is "long non-coding RNA (NTAB_LNC019622)". The record is from RNAcentral. Lineage: Eukaryota; Viridiplantae; Streptophyta; Magnoliopsida; Solanales; Solanaceae.